UUGACUAAUCUGAUAAUCUCCCAAUUCCCCAACGACCAUCGUCCAGCGACCCAUCGUCCAUCGACCCAUCCAUCGACGCAUUGGCAAGGCAGUGACCGGCGUCCGGCUUGCGAGGCGGGAGGCGGGAGGCGGAAGGCGGCGAGGCAGCGACUCCAGCGACAGCGAGGAUGACAAGUAACAAUACAAAUGAAUCUAUUCCUAAACAAGUUGACGUUCAAGUUACAACUACAACUCCAUCAAUUCCAUCAAUUUCUUCAAAGUUUUGUCAAAGAUGGCUGCUGAUAUACUAGCUGUUCCUAUUUCAAGUGUGGCAUCUGAAUCCACAUUUAGUGCCGGGGGAAGGGUGAUUGAUGAAUAUCGUGCUAGCUUAAAUGAACAAUCUAUUGAAGCUCUUAUUUGUGGCGGGGAUUGGCUUCGUAACAAGUAUGGGCUGAAGAAAAAAGAAAAGGAGGGUUCUGGGCAAGAGGAGAUUAUGCUUAAGCCGUGACUUGUUUCAUUUUAUGUUUGAAUAUUGUUAUGUUUAUAUUGUUGUUAUUAUGUUUGUAUUGUUGAUUUAUGCUUGUGUUGUUGUUAAACUUGUAUUUCUGUAGUUGUGUUAAUCCGUUGGACUUUUGUAUUAUGGACUUGUGGUGUUGGAUAAAAGUUUGUAUUAGUUGUAUUGCUGAAUUGUAUUACGAACUUUUACUUGUGGUGUUGGAUAAUCUAUUAUGAAAUAUGAACUUUUAUGGUUAA
Ipomoea triloba (trilobed morning glory) is the source of this 732-nucleotide long non-coding RNA. RefSeq lists it as uncharacterized. The record is from RefSeq and is a predicted model, not a curated record. NCBI's taxonomy places the organism in Eukaryota, Viridiplantae, Streptophyta, Magnoliopsida, Solanales, Convolvulaceae. The transcript is spliced from 3 exons.